GCGACCCCAGGUCAGGCGGGACUACCCGCUGAAUUUAAGCAU
RNAcentral lists this ribosomal RNA (42 nucleotides) under Avena hirtula. RNAcentral describes it as "partial 26S ribosomal RNA". Lineage: Eukaryota; Viridiplantae; Streptophyta; Magnoliopsida; Poales; Poaceae. RNAcentral also lists the same sequence under 1 other name. The record is from RNAcentral.